GGGGGAGCCUGGGAAUGGUGGGGUUCAGUUUGGGACUGGCAAUCCAGUGCAUAAAGGACACCCUAGAAGUCUCGUGUUGCACCUCGGGGGACCCUGCUGGGGCCCAAAAGCCAGGGCUUGGAUCUUCCUCUGAUAGUUCUACUUCAUUCUGUCAAAGAUCCAAUUCCCGAAAGAGUUUUUUUCAUCAUCUUCAAACAUCCAGCCCUCAGUGUAUUGGAUGAUACCUGCCAAUACUGGAAAGGCCAUGUGACCACACACCAAGAAGCUAGCUGUCUGCCAGCCAGGAAGAGAGCCCUGACCAGUAAUCAAAUUGGCUGAAGACUUGAUCUUGGACUCCUUGUCUCCAGAAAUGAACUCAGAAGACCAAAAACAGCACUACCGAAUUGCUCCCUCUCCUCCCCUGCAUCUUAUGUAGCCUGACUUCUCACCUCUGAAGCCCCAAACAUACUGUAGCCAACAGACGUUUAACCUGUACAGGAAGCUCGUAUUUUUCUCUGAGAGUGGGUAUGGAACUAUCAGGUGAACUCUACUUUGGAAAGUGUGGUGGCCAGAGAAGAAUUAUUGCUUCCUUUACUUUGUGGCCUUGGUAAGAGCUUACGAGUGGAACCUCAAAAGUAAGUGCCAGAUGGCUGUAGAAGAGAUGUACUUGGGGUCUACUGUUGUCCAGAAAUUCUAGAAGAAAUGCCUUUGAAAUCAAUCCUUUGCAAGCUGGACCUUGGAUAGCCCGGGUCACCACUGCAUGGUGGGAGGAAACCUAUUUUUCCACAGUUGUCAUUGGACUAAUCCUUGUAGUACAAAUAAGCUUGACUCAGUGGAGGCAGAAUAAAGCCCAGAAAACAUGCUUUUUUACAUCACAUGCCCUCGAUUACCUCUGGGUGCAGGACUUAAUCCAUUAGUUAAGUGAAAAACUCUGGAGGACAGGAGAGACAUGCCGAGGCUAAGGGACCAGUCCUCGUCUGUGAAGGCUGGAGCAAACCUGGCAGGGCCCUGUAUCUGAAGACUGACACUAGUCCCGAAGAGCAGGACUAUUGGGAUUGCAAGUAGCAUAAGCUGUAAUUGAAAGCAAAUUGAUUGAAAUGAAAUAAAUUGAUAUAAAGAUUAGGUUAAA
This is a long non-coding RNA of Homo sapiens (human), 1108 nucleotides long. The record is from Ensembl. Lineage: Eukaryota; Metazoa; Chordata; Mammalia; Primates; Hominidae.